RNAcentral lists this ribosomal RNA (587 nucleotides) under uncultured bacterium. Its description in RNAcentral is "bacterial SSU rRNA". It matches the Rfam family "Bacterial small subunit ribosomal RNA", at positions 338 to 916 of the family's 1533-position model. The record is from RNAcentral.
CCUACGGGAGGCAGCAGUAGGGAAUCUUCCGCAAUGGACGAAAGUCUGACGGAGCAACGCCGCGUGAACGAUGAAGGCCUUCGGGUCGUAAAGUUCUGUUGUCAGGGAAGAACAAGUACCGGAGUAACUGCCGGUACCUUGACGGUACCUGACCAGAAAGCCACGGCUAACUACGUGCCAGCAGCCGCGGUAAUACGUAGGUGGCAAGCGUUGUCCGGAAUUAUUGGGCGUAAAGCGCGCGCAGGCGGUUCCUUAAGUCUGAUGUGAAAGCCCCCGGCUCAACCGGGGAGGGUCAUUGGAAACUGGGGAACUUGAGUGCAGAAGAGGAGAGCGGAAUUCCACGUGUAGCGGUGAAAUGCGUAGAGAUGUGGAGGAACACCAGUGGCGAAGGCGGCUCUCUGGUCUGUAACUGACGCUGAGGCGCGAAAGCGUGGGGAGCGAACAGGAUUAGAUACCCUGGUAGUCCACGCCGUAAACGAUGAGUGCUAAGUGUUAGAGGGUUUCCGCCCUUUAGUGCUGCAGCAAACGCAUUAAGCACUCCGCCUGGGGAGUACGGCCGCAAGGCUGAAACUUAAAGGAAUUGACGG